RNAcentral lists this ribosomal RNA (440 nucleotides) under uncultured bacterium. Its description in RNAcentral is "partial 16S ribosomal RNA". It matches the Rfam family "Bacterial small subunit ribosomal RNA", at positions 339 to 795 of the family's 1533-position model. The record is from RNAcentral.
CUACGGGUGGCACCAGUGAGGAAUAUUGCACAAUGGGGGGAACCCUGAUGCAGCAACGCCGCGUGGAGGAUGACGCAUUUCGGUGUGUAAACUCCUUUUAUAUGUCAAGAAAAUGACGGUAGCAUAUGAAUAAGCACCGGCUAACUCCGUGCCAGCGAGCCGCGGUAAUACGGAGGGUGCAAGCGUUACUCGGAAUCACUGGGCGUAAAGGACGCGUAGGCGGGUUGGAAAGUCAGGUGUGAAAUCCUACAGCUUAACUGUAGAACUGCACUUGAAACUUCUAAGCUAGAGUAUGGGAGGGGGAGAUGGAAUUAGUGGUGUAGGGGUAAAAUCCGUAGAUAUCACUAGGAAUACCUAAAGCGAAGGCGAUCUCCUGGAACAUUACUGACGCUAAGGCGUGAAAGCGUGGGGAGCAAACAGGAUUAGAUACCCUCGUAGUC